RNAcentral lists this long non-coding RNA (1113 nucleotides) under Oryzias javanicus (javanese ricefish). RNAcentral's name for it is "lncRNA (ENSOJAG00000014139.1)". The record is from RNAcentral. Lineage: Eukaryota; Metazoa; Chordata; Actinopteri; Beloniformes; Adrianichthyidae.
GGCUGCUAAGAUUUCACAUUGGCCUUUUUCUUCUUAUAACAGUACUGAUAGUUCAGCCCUUUUUUUUCUUCAAUCCACAAAACACAGUAAAGAUGGGUCUGGUUAUUGGUGAUUUUACAUUUACAACUGUAACUUUAAAAACAUUAAGAAAAACACUAACACUUACCUGGUAUUUCUUUAAUUCUCUGCUGUAGUCUGCCAUACUCGAUUUGAUUCUGAGCACGUCCUCCAUGAGGUUUCUGAUUUCUUCAUAUCCAUUUUCCAUGUUAUCCUUCACUUUGGCCAUCGUAAGGACUGAAGUCAUGACGUCUUGUUUUUGUCUUUCAACGUCUUCUUUUUGUUUUUGUAUUUGGAUCUUUGUGAUUUCUAACUCGUCUCUCUGUCUUAUUGUCUUCUCUAACCGACAGUCGAGCUCUCGUCUCUUUUUCUUUGCCUGAAAAUAAACCCAUUUCAUUUGCUUGGAUUUACAUUGAUCACAAACGUGCAGGAACCGCGGCAGACUUUCCUCUCUUGUCUUCUUUUGUUCUUCCUCUGUGUCUUGCACAGUUUUUCUUGCUUCCUCAGUCUUAAUGGAUGUGUCUUCUUUUCUCUUCCUGUUCCUUCUUAUCAUCUUCUCCAGAUCGAUUUUCUUCAUUUGGACUUCCCUGCUCACCACUUCCAUCUCUCUGAUUUCUCUCUUUACUCUUUGUAACUUGUUGUCUAACUCUUUCAUUUCACCUUCAAUAGUCUUUCUUGUAUUCUUCAGUGCAUCCAUUUCAGUAUCAAUUAGUUUCCUGUUUCUCUCUAUGUCUAAUCUAUCUACUUCCAUCCUAAUUUUGAUUGUUUCAAUCUGAGAUUUUUCAGAUUGGACUUGUAUUGAAUAUUCUUUAAGUUCAUUAAAAGUAUUUUCCAUGUUUUCCUGAAUUUGGCAAAGUUGGGUUUCCAAAAGGUCAAAUGUAGAUGUCCGUCUGUUAGUUUCUCUCUGCUUUGUACUUCUGCAUCCUUCAAGAGGUUUUUAAUGUCAGCGAUUAUUUCUGUCAUCCGUUGUUUUUGCUCAUCCAUGUUUUCCAGUUUGCCAUCUGUUGCUGUUGAAGGUUGUGUCUCAUCUGACAGUUGUUCGUUUUCCAUCAUCAU